GGAAAACCUGCAGUGUAUCAAAUACUUGUUCUCCCCACUGUAUAUGGAGUAGAAAAUAACAUGGCUAUAUACAGGCAGUACCGAGUUGAUUUGCAGGGGUAUGAGGUAAUUGAGGUAGCUACAAUGCCUUCACAAAAUAUUCAUACCCCUUGACUUAUUCCACAUAAUGACAAAGUGAAAACAUGAUUUUAGACAUUUUAGCAAAUUUAAGUAUAAGCUCUAAGAGCUUUCCACACGUGGAUUGUGCAACAUUUGCCAAUUUAUUAUUUUCAAAAUUCUGUAAGUUCUGUCAAAUUGGUUGUUGAUCAUCGUUAGACAACCAUUAUCAGGUCUUGCCAUAGAUGGUCAAGUAGAUUUAAGUCAAAACUGUAACUCGGCCACUCAGGAACAUUCACUGUCUUCUUGGUAAGCAACUCCAGUGUAUAACCGUUUUAGGUUAUUGUCCUGCUAAAAGGUGAAAUAAUCUCCCAGUGUCUGGUGGAAAGCAGACUGAACUAGGUUUUCCUCUAGGAUUUUGCAUGUGAUUAGCUCCAUUCCGUUUCUUUUUAUCCUGAAAAACAAUCCUUAACGAUUACUGCAAUACCCAAAUCAUGAUGCAGCCACCACUAUGCUUGAAAAUAUAGUGGUGUGGUUCUCAGUAAUGUGUUGUAUUGGAUUUGCCCCAAACAUAACACUUUGUUUUCAGGACAAAAAGUACAUUUUUUGCACUUGUUGCAAACAGGAUGCAUGUUUUGGAAUAUUUGUAUUCUGUACAGGCUUCCAUCUUUUCACUCUGUUAAUUAGGUUAGUAUUGUUGAAUAUCUACAAUGUUGUUGAUCCAUCCUCAGUUCUCUCAUAUCAUGGCAAUUAAACUCUGUAACUGUUUUACAGUCACCAAUGGACUCAUGGUGAAAUCCCUGAGCCUUUUCCCACCUCUCCGGCAACUGAGUUGCCGCCCUUUGCCUUGAUGACAGCUUUGCACACUCUUGGCAUUCUCUCAACCAGGUUCACCUUGAAUGCUUUUCCAACAGAAUUGAAGGAGUUCUCACAUAUGAUGAGCACUUGUUGGCUGCUUUUUCUUCACUCUGCGGUUCAACUCAUCCCAAACCAUCUGAAUUUGGUUGAGGUAGGGUGAUUGUGGAGGACUGGCCAUCUGAUGCAGCACUCCAUCACUCUCCUCCUUGGUCAAAUAUCCUUUACACAGCCUGGAGGAGUGUUGGGUCAUUGUCCUGUUGAGAAACAAAUGAUAGUCUCACUAAGCGCAAACCAGAUGGGAUGGCGUAACGCUGCAGAAUGCUGUCUUGACUUUUUUCUAUAAUGUAGAAAAUAGUGAAAAGAAAUAAAAACCCUUGAAUGAGUAGGUGUGUCUAAACUUUUGACUGGUACUGUAGUGUGUGUGUGUUGAAGUGUCAGUGUAAGUGUGUGUGAGUGUGUGGUUAGAGUCCAGUGUGUGUGAUUAGUCGUUGCAAAAGAGUUAGUGCAAAAAAGGGUCAAUACAGGUAGUUUGGGUAGCCAUUUAAUUAGCUAUUUAGCAGUCUUGCGGUUUAUGAAGAAAUUAGGAGUUCGAUUUCUGUUCCACUUAAAAAUGAUGAAGAGGCGUUGUGUGUUUGGACCAUGAUUGAUCCUUAGUUAACUUGAAUCUCUCAACCUGUUCCACUACAGCCCCUCAUGUGAAUUGGGGUGUCCUCGGCCCGCCGUUUCCUGUAGUCCACGAUCAGCUCCUUUGUCUUGCUUACUUUGAGGGAGAAGCUGUUGUCCUGGCACCACACUGCCAGGUCUCUGAUCUUCUCCUUGUAGGCUGUCUUAUCAUCAUUGGGGAUCAGGCUUACCAUUGGCAUGUCGUCUGCAAACUUAAUGAUGGCGUUGGAAUUGUGUGUGGCCACGUAGUCAUGGGUGAUUAUCAAGUACAGGAGGAGACUAAGCAUGCACUCCUGAGGGGCCCGCGUGUUGAGGGUCAGCGUGGCGGAUGUGUGGUUGCCUACCCUCACCACCUGGGGGAAGUCCGUUAGGAAGUCCAGGAUCCAAGUUGCAGAGGGAGGUGUUCAGUCCCAGGGACCUUAGCUUAGUGAUGAGCUUCGAGGGUACUAUGGUGUUGAACACUGAGCUGUAGUCAAUGAACAGCAUUCUCACAUUGGUGUUCCUUUUGGGAAAGACAGUGUGGAGUGCAAUACAGAGUACAUCAUCUGUGGAUCUGUUGGGCCGUAUGCGAAAUGGAUUGGGUCCAGGGUGUCUGGGAUGAUGGUGUUGAUGUGAGCCAUGACAAGACUUUCAAUGCAUUUCAUGGUUACAGAUGUGAGUGCUACAUGGCGAAAGUCAUUUAGACAGUUUACCUUGCCGUUCUUGGGCAUAGGGACUAUGGUGGUCUGCUUAAAACAUGUAGGUACAGUAUUACAGACUGGGUCAGGGAGAGGUUGAAAAUGUCAGUGAAGACACUUGCCAACUGGUAAACGCAUACUCUGAGUACGCGUCCUGGUAAUCCGUCUGGCCCUGUGGCCUUGGGAAUGUUAACCUGGUUAAAAGGUCUUACUCACAUCAGCUUCAGAGAGCGUGAUCACACAAUCGUCUGGAACAGCUGGUUUUCUCACGCAUGGUUCAGUGUUGCUUGCCUCGAAGUGAGCCUAGAAGGCAUUUAGCUUGUGUCACUGGCCAGCUCGUGACUGGGUUUCCCUUUGUAAUCCAUGAGUUUGCAAGCCCUGCCAUAUCCGACGAGCUCAGAGCCGGUGUUGUAGUAUCAGAUCUUAGUCCUGUAUUCACGCUUUGCCUGUUUGAUGGUUCGUCGGAGGGCUUAGCGGGAGUACUUAUAAAUGUCUGGGUUAGGAUCCCGCUCCUUGAAAGUGACAGCUCUAGCCUUUAGCUCAGUGUGGAUGUUGCCUGUAAUCCAUGGCUUCUGGUUGGGAUAUGUACGUAGGUCACUGUGGAGACUAAAAAGUGCAUCGACGACGUAAUGAAGCCGGUGACUGAUGUGGUAAACUAAACAAUGCCAUCGGAUGAAACCCGGAACAUAUUCCAGUCUGUGCUAGCAAAACAGUCCUGUAGCGUAGCAUCCGCUUCAUCGGACCACUUCCUAAUUGAGCGUGUCACUGGUACUUCCUGUAUGAGUUUUUGCUUGUAAGCUGCAAUCAGGAGGAUAGAGUUAUGGUCAGAUUUGCUAAUCUUUGUGCCUAUGUGUGCGUGUGCAUGUGUGUGUGCGUGUGUGUGUGUGGCUAUGAGGGAUAAGAUCGUGGCUCUUAUUCGUUGAUCUAUUUUAAGCAAAUCAUCAUUUUUAAGUGGAACAGAAAUCUGACUCCUAAUUUCUUCCUCCCCCUCCCCUCACCGCCCUUCCUCCCCCUCCCCUCACCGCCCUUCCUUCCCCUCUCCCCUCACCGCCCUUCCUCCAUCUCUUUCAUUCCUAUUGUGAGUUGAGUGACCUGCAUUUGGAGGGUGUCUCAGGGGGAGUGGGAUAUACAAAAAAUACACUACAUGUGUGAAACAGGACAAAUAUAAGCACCCCCUAUAGGACCUUUAGAGCCUAUUCAGAAUGUAGAACAUUGAUCUAUCUUUGGCCUGAAGCUCUUCCUCUUCUCCUCUUCCUCGGUUCCUCUCCACCUCUCUGUCAGUACUAAAUCACCAACAUUACAGCUCGCUGUCAAUAGAUAGACAUUGUGUGUUCGUGUGCAUGCGUGUGUGCAGUGGUGUAAAGUACUGAAGUAAAAAUUAUUUAAGUACUACUUAAUUAAGUACUGUUUGGGGGGUAUCUGUAUCUUACUUUUUAUAUUUGUGAAACUUUUACUUUAUUACAUUCCUAAAGAAAAUAUGUACUUCUUACUCCCAUACAUUUUCCCUGAUGCCUGAAAGUACUUGUUACAUUUAGAAUGCUCAGGCAGGACAGCAAUAUGGUCCAAUUCACACACCAUCAAUAUAACGCCUUGUCAUCCCUACUGCCUCUGAUCUGGCAGAUUCAAACACAAAUCUGUGUGCCCGUUUGUUUGUAAAUUUUAAAAACAAGAACAUUAUGUCAUCUGGUUUGCCUCAUAUAAGGCAUUUGAUGUAUAGUAUUUACUUUUUCUUUUUACUCAAGAAUGACAAUUGAGUACUUUUCCCAUUACUGUACUUAAGUAAAUUUAAAACCAGAUACUUUUAGACUUUACUCAAGUAGAAUUUUACUGGGUGACUUUUCAUAUCCAUUAAGGUUUUUAUCUUUACUUUUACUCAAGUCUGACAAUUCAGUAUUUUUUCUACCACUGUUUGUACACCAUUGUUUGGGGGAAUUAUGUAUCCUGUAUUAUGUACCCUGUAUUGCUACACACAAUAGCCUGGUGUCUGUUUGUCCCUCUGCCCCUCCUCUCUGUCAGUCUGUCCUUUCGCAAGACAGAAGCCACUCGUCAGUAAAAGGCACAUUACAGUCCGCUUAGAGUUUACCAAAGGGCACCUAAAGGACUCUCAGACCAUGAGAAACAAGAUUCUCUGGUCUGAUGAAACCAAGAUUGAGCUCUUUGGCCUGAAUGCCAAGCAACACGUCUGGAGGAAACCUGGCACCAUCCCUAUGGUGAAGCAUGGUUGUGGCAGCAUUAUGCUGUGGGGAUGUUUUUCAGCGGCAGGGACUGGGAGACUAGUCAGGAUCAAGGGAAAGAUCAACGGUGCAAAAUACAGAGAGAUCCUUGAUGAAAACCUGCUCCAGAGCGCUCAGGACCUGACUGGGGUGAAGGUUCACCUUCCAACAGGACAAUGACCCUAAGCACACAUCCAAGACAACGGAGGAGUGGCUUCGGGACAAGUCUGAAUGUCCUUGAGUGGCCCAGCCAGAGCCCGGACUUGAACCCCAUCGAACAUCUCUGGAGAGACCUGAAAAUAGCUGUGCAGCGACGCUCCCCAUUCAACCUAACAGAGCUUGAGAGGAUCGGCAAAGAAUGGGAGAAACUCCCAAUACAUGUGCGCCAAUCUUGUAGCGUCAUACCCAAGAAGACUCAAGGCUGUAUCGCUGCCAAAGCACAAUUACAAGGGCUGUUGUUGGAGUACAAGAUGAUGCAAUGCACUUCAGACUACAUCCCCAGGAUGAUGAUGUAAUGUCAGCUGGCCUGGUUACUGUAACCAUGCCAACAAUAUUAAUUUAUAUUUAAACACCCGUCAUGAUGAUGCUCUACACACACGUACACGCACAUACACAACCAUGGGAGAAACUAGGUUAAAGCAUUACUGCAUUCAGAACAGAGUUGUAGAACAGUAUUCACAUUUCAAACAUGGUUAGAACUGCCUGAGGGGGACUGAGAGACAUAGAGGAACUGAGAGGGACUGAGAGAAACAUAGAGGAACUGAGAGGGACUGAGAGAGACAUAUAGGAACUGAGAGGGACUGAGAGAGACAUAGAGGAACUGAGAGGGACUGAGAGAGACAUAGAGGAACUGAGAGGGACUGAGAGAGACAUAGAGGGACUGAGAGAGACAAAGAGGAGCUGAGAGGGACUGAGAGAGAGAGACAUAGAGGAACUGAGAGGGACUGAGAGAGAGAGACAUAGAGGAACUGAGAGAGAGAGACAUAGAGGAACUGAGAGGGACUGAGAGAGACAUAUAGGAACUGAGAGGGACUGAGAGAGAGACAUAGAGGAACUGAGAGAGACAAAGAGGAACUGAGAGGGACAGAGAGAGAGACAUAGAGGGACAGAGGGGGACUGAGAGAGAGAGAGACAGAGAGGGACAGAGGGGGACUGAGAGAGAGAGAGACAGAGAGGGACAGAGGGUAGGUGUACUUAGCACUCUAAGCAGUCUUUUUCACUCUCAUUCCUGUGUGUUUCUGUCUGUCUAAAACAGAGCCCCUCCUCCAGACUGACAGUUAGAGACUGGAUCUGGUCAGAGACCACUGAUCACCAUCAGAUGGAGCUCUCCUCUUGCACAAGACAGACAACAUUCAUGUGUAUCCACCAUAAGUUCACAUGGACAGUUUGAGUGUUGUGUUUUGUGAUCAAACCAUGAAUAAAACUGUUAGGGUGCUGUAAGUGUUUAGGUAUGUAUGGCCUUAGACUGGAGGGACUGUAUCACCAAUGCUGUGGUUCACCACUACAUUAUAGUAUGUAUGCCUACUUGCCCAGAAGGAGAGAUAUGUUGACUUCUAUUGACCACCAGAUGGGGUUGUUGAACCUGUUUUUGUCUCAGUGCCACGGCUUCACCAGGCAGAUCUGCUAUUAUAGGAAAGAUAAACUUACUGUUCAGAUCAUCAUUCAGAGUCAUGGGAGGGAUUAAAAUGCUUUUGGUAAUCCCCAUCUGUGUGUCCUAGCCUACUCAAUUAUCUCAUACGGUAUAUCACUCCUCAUGUGGCUACAAUGAAUGUUUAUCAUACUAGUUAUAUUUAGCUCCUAACCACACACACACACACACACACACACACACACUCUCAUUCCUGUGUGUUUCUGUCUGUCUAAAACAGAGCCCCUCCUCCAGACUGACAGUUAGAGACUGGAUCUGGUCAGAGACCACUGAUCACCAUCAGAUGGAGCUCUCCUCUUGCACAAGACAGACAACAUUCAUGUGUAUCCACCAUAAGUUCACAUGGACAGUUUGAGUGUUGUGUUUUGUGAUCAAACCAUGAAUAAAACUGUUAGGGUGCUGUAAGUGUUUAGGUAUGUAUGGCCUUAGACUGGAGGGACUGUAUCACCAAUGCUGUGGUUCACCACUACAUUAUAGUAUGUAUGCCUACUUGCCCAGAAGGAGAGAUAUGUUGACUUCUAUUGACCACCAGAUGGGGUUGUUGAACCUGUUUUUGUCUCAGUGCCACGGCUUCACCAGGCAGAUCUGCUAUUAUAGGAAAGAUAAACUUACUGUUCAGAUCAUCAUUCAGAGUCAUGGGAGGGAUUAAAAUGCUUUUGGUAAUCCCCA
Molecule: long non-coding RNA, 6824 nt
Organism: Salvelinus fontinalis (brook trout)
Lineage: Eukaryota; Metazoa; Chordata; Actinopteri; Salmoniformes; Salmonidae
Exons: 2
Source: RefSeq, a predicted model, not a curated record